RNAcentral lists this ribosomal RNA (446 nucleotides) under uncultured bacterium. RNAcentral describes it as "partial 16S ribosomal RNA". It matches the Rfam family "Bacterial small subunit ribosomal RNA", at positions 338 to 795 of the family's 1533-position model. The record is from RNAcentral.
CCUACGGGGAGCAGCAGUCGAGAAUCAUUCACAAUGGGGGAAACCCUGAUGGUGCGACGCCGCGUGGGGGAAUGAAGGUCUUCGGAUUGUAAACCCCUGUCAUGUGGGAGCAAAUUAAAAAGAUCGUACCACAAGAGGAAGAGACGGCUAACUCUGUGCCAGCAGCCGCGGUAAUACAGAGGUCUCAAGCGUUGUUCGGAAUCACUGGGCGUAAAGCGUGCGUAGGCUGUUUCGUAAGUCGUGUGUGAAAGGCGCGGGCUCAACCCGCGGACGGCACAUGAUACUGCGAGACUAGAGUAAGGGAGGGGGAACCGGAAUUCUCGGUGUAGCAGUGAAAUGCGUAGAUAUCGAGAGGAACACUCGUGGCGAAGGCGGGUUCCUGGACAUUAACUGACGCUGAGGCACGAAGGCCAGGGGAGCGAAAGGGAUUAGAUACCCUGGUAGUC